GGAUUAGAUACCCUGGUAGUCCACGCAGUAAACGAUGAGUGCUAGAUGUUAGAACUAUGUUUUAGCGUCGAAGCUAACGCAUUAAGCACUCCGCCUGGGAACUACGAUCGCAAGGUUAAAACUCAAAGGAAUUGACGGGGACCCGCACAAGCGGUGGAACAUGUGGUUUAAUUCGAUGCUACGCGAAAAACCUUACCAAGUCUUGACAUGUUAGUCGUAUGAUUAGGAAACUAGUCAGUCAGUUCGGCUGGACUAUCACAGGUGUUGCAUGGCUGUCGUCAGCUCGUGCCG
RNAcentral lists this ribosomal RNA (291 nucleotides) under uncultured bacterium. RNAcentral describes it as "partial 16S ribosomal RNA". It matches the Rfam family "Bacterial small subunit ribosomal RNA", at positions 775 to 1067 of the family's 1533-position model. The record is from RNAcentral.